GGAAGGGGGUGACACUGGGAGGGUGCAUUUAAAAAAAAAAUUCUGAAAAGCCUGCAAACGGAUCGAAGAGUGAAAACUAUUGUUGGAACGAGUUGGUUUUUACCUCAACAGCGCCACCUUUCGGCAAAGGGUUCUUCCUUAGGAUUCCAUACCCAGCAUUUAGUGAAAUACUUCUCUGUUUUGCACGGGUGGUGUGAGAAUUCUCAGGAUAUGAUAUCUGGCCCAGUGCUCUUCUCUUUCAUCUGAUGAAAACACCCUGUAAGGGCUGGUGACAGGAGGGGUUUCGUGAAUGGUUCUGUGCACCCACGGACAUCGGAGUGAAAGGACUUCUUUCGGUUUGAAGCAAUAGACAGUUAUAAAAUGAUGGGCCUAUUUCCCCUCUCUUUCCAUUCCAAAUUAACACACUUCCAUGGUUUUCUUUUUCUUUUUUUUUUCUUUUUUCCUUUUUUUAGGGCACUGCAGUCUUCUUAGAUUUUUUUUUUCUUUUCUUUCCAUUAGGGACUGAUUAUGAUUCACUUUUCCAUUGUCAUCCCUUUUGAUCCUAUUCACUGCUUAUACCGGUGAGGGAAUUUGUCUCGAAAGCAUGCAACCCUUCAAAGAUUUUCAUUGUGGUGAACUCAGAACUGAUUAAAAAAUAAAUAAAACAGGAAUAAAUAAAAGGACCUGAUGUCAGAACAA
Long non-coding RNA from Tupaia belangeri chinensis (Chinese tree shrew), 678 nucleotides. RefSeq lists it as uncharacterized. The transcript has 2 exons. The record is from RefSeq and is a predicted model, not a curated record. NCBI's taxonomy places the organism in Eukaryota, Metazoa, Chordata, Mammalia, Scandentia, Tupaiidae.